GCCGACAAACAAAGAAGAAUAGACUACUUUUUCUGCUGUUCUGCCAUUCAGUAAAUUGCUGUAAUAGUCGUCAUUUUUUGGUCAAGGAUGAAGAAUAUUUGCCUACGGACGCACUGUUGGACAAGUGAAAAACAUUGCCAAAAAACGACAGAGGAAGAUUGCCUUCAAGCCCGUAUUCUGUGUUGGCGAAGCGGGAAAAAAGACUUUCCACACAAGCGUUGUAAACCUUGGAAGGCAGCCUAAAGAGCAAGCAUGGCACGUGUGGAGGUCACCAACGAUUGGCCGGAGCCGGCAGGAGGCCCCGCCCCGUUUAUCGCUGACCUCUAUCAGGGUUUUUUAACGGCGCCAUGGCAGGGUCACGGCUGGGUCGCCUCACAGGCCUUAAUGACUUCCUCCCAUCCCAAUAAAGACGAGAUGUGUUGUGAUGUGUCGUGAUGUAUGAGGACGGCGCCAUCCGUGAUGACCAGCAGGUAACCCCGAACACGGGAAACACGAGGACCACGAUCAAGAUGACGGAAGCGCAAGACUCCCAAUUUGAAGCAGGUAUCGCCAAAUUUGUAUGAGAGUGGUGACGUCGGACCUGGAGAAGACCACCAGGUAACCUCGACUACCACCCAUGCCAAAACACCACAUAGACCAGCAAAACUUUACACGUUAACGACAGCGAGCCUCAGGUGAUGACUGCAUGACACGCUUGCGUGAUGUUUGACACAAAGUUCACGAAGAUGCUAAACGUGCACGACGUCAAGAAAAAGGACUGGAGAAAUAAAGAUGAGGGAAAAAAUGAGGAAGAGGAUGAAG
Phyllopteryx taeniolatus (common seadragon) is the source of this 801-nucleotide long non-coding RNA. RefSeq lists it as uncharacterized. Lineage: Eukaryota; Metazoa; Chordata; Actinopteri; Syngnathiformes; Syngnathidae. The transcript is spliced from 5 exons. The record is from RefSeq and is a predicted model, not a curated record.